RNAcentral lists this ribosomal RNA (497 nucleotides) under uncultured bacterium. RNAcentral describes it as "partial 16S ribosomal RNA". It matches the Rfam family "Bacterial small subunit ribosomal RNA", at positions 28 to 507 of the family's 1533-position model. The record is from RNAcentral.
GAUGAACGCUGGCGGCGUGCCUAAUACAUGCAAGUCGAGCGAACAGAUGAGGAGCUUGCUCCUCUGACGUUAGCGGCGGACGGGUGAGUAACACGUGGAUAACCUACCUAUAAGACUGGGAUAACUUCGGGAAACCGGAGCUAAUACCGGAUAAUAUAUUGAACCGCAUGGUUCAAUAGUGAAAGACGGUUUUGCUGUCACUUAUAGAUGGAUCCGCGCCGCAUUAGCUAGUUGGUAAGGUAACGGCUUACCAAGGCAACGAUGCGUAGCCGACCUGAGAGGGUGAUCGGCCACACUGGAACUGAGACACGGUCCAGACUCCUAAGGGAGGCAGCAGUAGGGAAUCUUCCGCAAUGGGCGAAAGCCUGACGGAGCAACGCCGCGUGAGUGAUGAAGGUCUUCGGAUCGUAAAACUCUGUUAUUAGGGAAGAACAAAUGUGUAAGUAACUAUACACGUCUUGACGGUACCUAAUCAGAAAGCCACGGCUAACUACGUG